UACAGAGGUCUCAAGCGUUGUUCGGAUUCAUUGGGCGUAAAGGGUGUGUAGGUGGCGCGCUAAGUCGGGUGUGAAAUUUCGGAGCUUAACUCCGAAACUGCAUUCGAUACUGGCGUGCUUGAGGACUGGAGAGGAGACUGGAAUUCAUGGUGUAGCAGUGAAAUGCGUAGAGAUCAUGAGGAAGACCAGUGGCGAAGGCGGGUCUCUGGACAGUUCCUGACACUGAGGCACGAAGGCUAGGGGAGCAAACGGG
RNAcentral lists this ribosomal RNA (253 nucleotides) under uncultured bacterium. Its description in RNAcentral is "partial 16S ribosomal RNA". It matches the Rfam family "Bacterial small subunit ribosomal RNA", at positions 524 to 776 of the family's 1533-position model. The record is from RNAcentral.